This 253-nucleotide ribosomal RNA is filed under the name uncultured bacterium. Its description in RNAcentral is "partial 16S ribosomal RNA". It matches the Rfam family "Bacterial small subunit ribosomal RNA", at positions 524 to 776 of the family's 1533-position model. The record is from RNAcentral.
UACGUAGGGUGCAAGCGUUGUCCGGAAUUAUUGGGCGUAAAGAGCUCGUAGGCGGUUUGUCGCGUCUGCUGUGAAAACUCGGGGCUUAACUCCGGGCUUGCAGUGGGUACGGGCAGACUAGAGUGCGGUAGGGGAGACUGGAAUUCCUGGUGUAGCGGUGAAGUGCGCAGAUAUCAGGAGGAACACCGGUGGCGAAGGCGGGUCUCUGGGCCGUAACUGACGCUGAGGAGCGAAAGCGUGGGGAGCGAACAGG